RNAcentral lists this ribosomal RNA (362 nucleotides) under uncultured Burkholderia sp. Its description in RNAcentral is "bacterial SSU rRNA". It matches the Rfam family "Bacterial small subunit ribosomal RNA", at positions 237 to 591 of the family's 1533-position model. The record is from RNAcentral. Lineage: Bacteria; Pseudomonadati; Pseudomonadota; Betaproteobacteria; Burkholderiales; Burkholderiaceae.
CCGAUUAGCUAGUUGGUAGGGUAAAGGCCUACCAAGGCGACGAUCGGUAGCUGGUCUGAGAGGAUGAUCAGCCACACUGGGACUGAGACACGGCCCAGACUCCUACGGGAGGCAGCAGUGGGGAAUUUUGGACAAUGGGCGCAAGCCUGAUCCAGCCAUGCCGCGUGAGUGAAGAAGGCCUUCGGGUUGUAAAGCUCUUUCGGCCGGAACGAAAUCGACUAGGCCAAUACCCUGGUCGGAUGACGGUACCGGAAGAAGAAGCACCGGCUAACUACGUGCCAGCAGCCGCGGUAAUACGUAGGGUGCAGGCGUUAAUCGGAAUUACUGGGCGUAAAGCGUGCGCAGGCGGCUUCCUAAGUCAG